Molecule: ribosomal RNA, 1432 nt
Filed under: metagenome
Description: bacterial LSU rRNA
Rfam family: Bacterial large subunit ribosomal RNA
Source: RNAcentral
CAUGUUGGUUCAAGCCUGUAGUCGUGCCUGGUAGGUAAAUCCGCCGGGCUUAGAUGAGGGGUGAUAACGAGUCUGCUUGCAGACGAAGUGAGUGAUACCCUGCUUCCAGGAAAAGCCACUAAGCUUCAGCUACACACGACCGUACCGCAAACCGACACUGGUGCGCGAGAUGAGUAUUCUAAGGCGCUUGAGAGAACUCAGGAGAAGGAACUCGGCAAAUUGACACCGUAACUUCGGAGGAAGGUGUGCCUUUAGUAGGUGAACCAUUUACUUGACGAGCCCAAUGAGGUUGCAAAAAAUCGGUGGCUGCGACUGUUUAUUAAAAACACAGCACUCUGCAAACACGAAAGUGGACGUAUAGGGUGUGACGCCUGCCCGGUGCUGGAAGAUUAAAUGAUGGAGUGCAAGCUCUUGAUUGAAGUCCCAGUAAACGGCGGCCGUAACUAUAACGGUCCUAAGGUAGCGAAAUUCCUUGUCGGGUAAGUUCCGACCUGCACGAAUGGCGUAACGAUGGCCACACUGUCUCCUCCUGAGACUCAGCGAAGUUGAAAUGUUUGUGAUGAUGCAAUCUCCCCGCGGAAAGACGGAAAGACCCCAUGAACCUUUACUGUAGCUUUGUAUUGGACUUUGAACAGAUCUGUGUAGGAUAGGUGGGAGGCUUUGAAGCGGUGCCGCUAGGUAUCGUGGAGCCAACGUUGAAAUACCACCCUGGUGUGUUUGAGGUUCUAACCUUGGUCCAUUAUCUGGAUUGGGGACAGUGCAUGGUAGGCAGUUCGACUGGGGCGGUCUCCUCCCAAAGCGUAACGGAGGAGUUCGAAGGUACGCUAGUUACGGUCGGACAUCGUGACGAUAGUGCAAUGGCAUAAGCGUGCUUAACUGCGAGACUGACAAGUCGAGCAGAUGCGAAAGCAGGACAUAGUGAUCCGGUGGUUCUGUAUGGAAGGGCCAUCGCUCAACGGAUAAAAGGUACUCUGGGGAUAACAGGCUGAUACCGCCCAAGAGUUCAUAUCGACGGCGGUGUUUGGCACCUCGAUGUCGGCUCAUCUCAUCCUGGGGCUGUAGCCGGUCCCAAGGGUAUGGCUGUUCGCCAUUUAUAGAGGUACGUGAGCUGGGUUUAAAACGUCGUGAGACAGUUUGGUCCCUAUCUUCCAUGGGCGCUGCAGAUUUGAGGAAGCCUGCUCCUAGUACGAGAGGACCGGAGUGGACACACCUCUGGUGUAUCGGUUGUCACGCCAGUGGCAUUGCCGAGUAGCUAAGUGUGGAAGAGAUAACCGCUGAAAGCAUCUAAGCGGGAAACUCGUUUCAAGAUGAGAUCUGCCGGGGCCUUGAGCCCCCUAAAGAGUCGUUCAAGACUAGGACGUUGAUAGGUCAGGUGUGGAAGCGCAGUAAUGCGUUAAGCUAACUGAUACUAAUUGCUCGUGCGGUUUGACCG